This is a long non-coding RNA of Salvia hispanica, 1638 nucleotides long. RefSeq lists it as uncharacterized. Lineage: Eukaryota; Viridiplantae; Streptophyta; Magnoliopsida; Lamiales; Lamiaceae. The record is from RefSeq and is a predicted model, not a curated record.
AAAAGAAAGAAAAAGAUAAAGUUGGAAUAGGUAUCAAAACGGAAACCUUCUCUUUCCCUCAUCCAUCUCUUCGUCCCUCUCUCUGCUCCAUUCCCCUCAUGCUCUCUCUCUGUUCAGCCAUGGCGCCAACACCAUGAUAGCGCCAGACGGCUCCUCCGGGAAGCAUGUAAAACACGCUACUACCCUCAACUCCUUACUUCCAUUACUUCCUCUUAAUUUUAGAACUUGUGCUUUAAAUCCACAUCCACCCAACAUCCAAAAAUAGUUAUAUAUUGAAGGUAGAACGUCCAUUUUUAGAGAGGGAGAGCUCGGCCUCCAUGGAGAAAUCAGAAGCCGUGAGCUUCAUGGUUGCUUCUACACCUCGAUUCCUCAUCUUUUCGUUAAUUCAAUCGCGAAUUCUCCAAUAAUUCAAACUGCCCUGGUCUGCCAGGAAAUGACAUGGAGAAGGAGCAUGGAUAAUGUGAUUCGUAUGUCAAAGGUGUCUGGGAUUUUGAGAUUAGAGGAUCACACAAGCUCUUUUGUUGUACAGCUGCUCAGGCUUUAGCCCGCCUUUGCGUUUGAAAAAUUAUGUUUGAUAUGUUAGAUGUGGCAUGUAUAGAAUGUCUAAUGUAGAAUGGACAUUUUAUUUACUUCGUUAUCUAGGUUUUAAAAAUAUAUAUUCAGAAUCUUGGAAACAGGUUUAUGCUCUAGUUCUAGAUAUUAUAUAUCAGUUUUCCUACUUGCCAAAUAAAGGAAAAUAAAGUAUCUAUAUAUUAAAAAAAAAAGAUUUUUCUGUCAAUUCAAGAUUAAUACCAAAAUUGACAAUAUUUAUUGAUUAUUAAAAUAAUUAGGUAAGGGGUGUUACAAUUCUACUAUUAUUUUAUAUGAAUUUUGAAAAUAAUUUUGAAAAUUAUAAAUUUUUGAAGGUGUGCAAUUUUUUCAACCUAAUCCAAAUAGGAAUUUUUAGAUAGAUUUUUAUUUUGUGUGACUAGCCGUGUGAAAAUUAUGUGGCCUAGUCUAAAUUCAAAACUAUAAUUCUUGAAUUCGACGUUGAAUAAUUCUAUAUAAAUAGAUUAAGAUAUGUUUGAUAGAGCGGUCGGCUGUGAGAAAUGAGCAUCAAUCUUAAAGUUUGUGAAUUUUAAUACAAUUUUCAAAGCUCCUGAGAUAUAUCAUAAUUCGCGCACAAGUUUAUGGUUUCUAAACCAUAAACCAAUAUCCCUUUAGGGCUCGUUUGGUAGCGUUUACGGGAUUUUCUCAAAUUCUUAGAUUAAUGUUAAUCCUAUAGAUUUACAUAAGUAAUCCCAAUUAGUAGGGCAUUUGGUAAAACUCCAUUAUUGGUUAUUACAAUGUGUGGUACACAUAUUAGAUUAUGCUGAAUAUUUGUAUAAACGAUUGUGGAGACAUCCUUGUCCCUACUUUACAAAAUUAAAAGACAUUUAACCCCUCGGCCGUCCUUGCUCCUCUGGUUCUUGGCGCGCAGAAAUUCUGCCGUUCGCGCCAUCUCCAGACGAGUUCCUCCAUAUAAGCACGUGCUCCCUCCCAUUAUCGCAUCACUCACAGCCGACGAGACUCAUACUCCUGUUGCAUUCUUUCCGAUGGCUUCUAAGGGGCACCGUAAGCUCAAUUACGACGGAAGUCCCAGUGGUUGUGGGAGUGGUG